This 70-nucleotide ribosomal RNA is filed under the name Trebouxia lynnae. RNAcentral's name for it is "partial 28S ribosomal RNA". It matches the Rfam family "Eukaryotic large subunit ribosomal RNA", at positions 1 to 69 of the family's 3401-position model. The record is from RNAcentral. Lineage: Eukaryota; Viridiplantae; Chlorophyta; Trebouxiophyceae; Trebouxiales; Trebouxiaceae.
UCGACCUGAGGUCAGGCAAGAACACCCGCUGAACUUAAACAUAUCAAUAAGCGGAGGAAAAGAAACUAAC